UUCAUUGCAAGUAGCGCCAAACGAAUCACAAAUACUCAUUGUAACAUGACCGACUCCACAUGUUUCAAUAAAUUACCGUUAUUAACACUGAAAAUCUAAACCUGUACCGGUGUCACAGGAGAAUAAAAUCACCGGUUAAAGAGUGUCGAAAGUCUUCCUUUUUUAUUAAAACCCCCGACCCUAGUCACGUGAUGCUACGUUGAGCGGAAAUGACAGGGGUUCCUUCUAAGUGUGGGUUGAGUCCUAUAAAUGACAGAGGUUCCUUCUAAGUGUGGGUUGAGUCCUAUAAAUUACAAGGCAUUUUCCCUCCUCAUUCAUUACUUGUUUGGCAACAUUUGAGGAACUGAGGUCUUCCUGAAGAAAAGCAAGCAAAGAUGCCCCGACAACUUUACACAGCUCUGUUCUUAGUCCUCGUCGCACUACUUUUAAGCUCAACACCGGAAGUCUCCGCCAAAAGUUCGUGUUCCUACGCCUGCAUGAAGACCCUAUUUUCGUGCAAGCGGCGAAGUGAGGGGGAUUGUUGUAACAAAUUCACGGAAUGUUUCCACACCUGUGAUCUUGCUGCACCCCCGUGUGCUGGAAAGCGCGGGAGUUGGAACAAGCGAUACCAGGUCUCCCAGGGUUACGAGGACCGGGAGCUUUACCCUUACUAUUAAACCUUGACCUUCAGCAUUAGUGAACAGCUGCUAUAACACAACAGAUCAAAUAAAAAUGCAUCACUCAUUGGAGACAGUGAACCUAGGAAAACUCGCACCGUACACAUUAUCUGUUUAUAUAUUUUUUUCUUGAUGAAGAGUUGCAAUGAUCACUAUUCAAAGCCUUGCUUUAAGUAUCAUACCAUUUCUUUACCAAGCACUAUUCUUCAAAAGAAUUAAAUUUCUAUCACUUCAUGUUAGGAACUCCACUACUACCAUCACAGCAUGUACUGUGUAUUUUCAGUUCUUCAGUGAAUAAA
Molecule: long non-coding RNA, 955 nt
Organism: Magallana angulata
Lineage: Eukaryota; Metazoa; Mollusca; Bivalvia; Ostreida; Ostreidae
Exons: 3
Source: RefSeq, a predicted model, not a curated record